RNAcentral lists this ribosomal RNA (298 nucleotides) under Akashiwo sanguinea. RNAcentral's name for it is "partial small subunit ribosomal RNA". It matches the Rfam family "Eukaryotic small subunit ribosomal RNA", at positions 601 to 903 of the family's 1831-position model. The record is from RNAcentral. Lineage: Eukaryota; Dinophyceae; Gymnodiniales; Gymnodiniaceae.
AUAUUAAAGUUGUUGCGGUUAAAAAGCUCGUAGUUGGAUUUCUGCCGAGAACGACCGGUCCGCCCUCUGGGUGAGCAUCUGGCUCGGUCUGGGCAUCUUCUUGGAGAACGUAGCUGCACUUGACUGUGUGGUGCGGUAUCCAGGACAUUUACUUUGAGGAAAUUAGAGUGUUUCAAGCAGGCGCACGCCUUGAAUACAUUAGCAUGGAAUAAUAAUAUAGGACCUUAAUUCUAUUUUGUUGGUUUCUAGAGUUGAGGUAAUGAUUAAUAGGGAUAGUUGGGGGCAUUCGUAUUUAACU